RNAcentral lists this transfer RNA (54 nucleotides) under Cyclopterus lumpus (lumpfish). RNAcentral describes it as "partial transfer RNA-Ser". Lineage: Eukaryota; Metazoa; Chordata; Actinopteri; Perciformes; Cyclopteridae. The record is from RNAcentral.
CCCCCUUAAGCUGAUUUCAAGUCAGCCACAUAACCGCUCUGUCAUUUUCUUUAU